UUGGGCGUAAAGAGCUCGUAGGCGGUUUGUCGCGUCCGCUGUGAAAGCCCGGGGCUCAACCCCGGGUCUGCAGUGGGUACGGGCAGACUAGAGUGCAGUAGGGGAGACUGGAAUUCCUGGUGUAGCGGUGAAAUGCGCAGAUAUCAGGAGGAACACCGAUGGCGAAGGCAGGUCUCUGGGCUGUUACUGACGCUGAGGAGCGAAAGCAUGGGGAGCGAACAGGAUUAGAUACCCUGGUAGUCCAUGCCGUAAACGUUGGGCACUAGGUGUGGGGGACAUUCCACGUUCUCCGCGCCGUAGCUAACGCAUUAAGUGCCCCGCCUGGGGAGUACGGCCGCAAGGCUAAAACUCAAAGGAAUUGACGGGGGCCCGCACAAGCGGCGGAGCAUGCGGAUUAAUUCGAUGCAACGCGAAGAACCUUACCAAGGCUUGACAUUCACCGGACCGCCCCAGAGAUGGGGUUUCCCUUCGGGGUCGGUGGACAGGUGGUGCAUGGUUGUCGUCAGCUCGUGUCGUGAGAUGUUGGGUUAAGUCCCGCAACGAGCGCAACCCUCGUUCUAUGUUGCCAGCACGUGAUGGUGGGGACUCAUAGGAGACUGCCGGGGUCAACUCGGAGGAAGGUGGGGAUGACGUCAAAUCAUCAUGCCCCUUAUGUCUUGGGCUUCACGCAUGCUACAAUGGCCGGUACAAAGGGUUGCGAUACUGUGAGGUGGAGCUAAUCCCAAAAAGCCGGUCUCAGUUCGGAUUGAGGUCUGCAACUCGACCUCAUGAAGUCGGAGUCGCUAGUAAUCGCAGAUCAGCAACGCUGCGGUGAAUACGUUCCCGGGCCUUGUACACACCGCCCGUCAAGUCACGAAAGUUGGUAACACCCGAAGCCGGUGGCCUAACCCCUUUGGGGAGGGAGCCGUCG
RNAcentral lists this ribosomal RNA (910 nucleotides) under Kocuria turfanensis. RNAcentral describes it as "bacterial SSU rRNA". It matches the Rfam family "Bacterial small subunit ribosomal RNA", at positions 554 to 1458 of the family's 1533-position model. The record is from RNAcentral. Lineage: Bacteria; Bacillati; Actinomycetota; Actinomycetes; Micrococcales; Micrococcaceae.